UAGUGCCCUGACCUGCCC
RNAcentral lists this unclassified non-coding RNA (18 nucleotides) under Mus musculus (house mouse). RNAcentral's name for it is "oocyte_clustered_small_RNA188". Lineage: Eukaryota; Metazoa; Chordata; Mammalia; Rodentia; Muridae. The record is from RNAcentral.